Molecule: long non-coding RNA, 1064 nt
Filed under: Equus caballus (horse)
Lineage: Eukaryota; Metazoa; Chordata; Mammalia; Perissodactyla; Equidae
Description: lncRNA (ENSECAG00000037405.3)
Source: RNAcentral
GUAAGCAUCCCCUCGUCCAUCUCCUUCCUGGACCUGCGGCCCCUGAACACAGAGGCCCCAGGCAGGUAGCGGCCGUGUCACCGGCAGCCAUCAGGCUUUGGCGUUGAACACCUGCCCGGUGAGCUCGGGUGCCCUGUGGAUUCCUGGCUCGCCCUGCCUGUGUGUCCUUCUCAGCGCUCACUCCACCACUGUGCACGAUGGCUCGACAUCCUUUUAAGCCUCUGAAGAGACACUGAGAUCAUAAGAGCACACUGAGUCACUGAGUCACCACGCGGAGGACAGUCACUCUGUGGCUGUGGCUGGAACUUGGAAACAUCCUGAAAAUGAAAGCCAGUCUCUGCCAGGGGCUGCAAAACGGUGCGGUUAGAGUCCGAAAAGAGGGACGUCAAGGCUGCUGUGAACACGUCCAGGUGCAGACGGACUGGGCCUGGGCUUGCUUCUCUGGCUGGGUCUCCAUGGGAAACAUCCUAUGGUGAGGUCCUCAGCCUGCGCUUUGUGUCAGUAAAUUCCUCAAACAUAAACACUUCCUUGGCCGGAAGGAAGUCACCUGGUGGGGCCUGCGAGCAGAGUCCUGGAAGACGCAUCAACUCAACAGCGGCCCUGAAGGACCAGGGUGACCUGCUAAUGGGAAGCUCACGGUCCUCGCCUCCCCAGGAGUCACACAGCGGAUGCGGGACUUCCUCGUCUGGACGAAUAUUCUGGGUACAUACAUCUUUCUCAAUAAAGGAGUGUUGAGACCACAGGAACGAUCUAGAAUGCUGCCUCCUUUGUCUGCCAGGCUUUUUUCCUGAAGUUCUGCCUUCACAUUUAUCCUAAUUCUAAUCACUUUCUGUGAAAAUCUCUGCCUAUGCGGGAGCCACAGCUUUCUUUCAACGAUUUUCUGAGUUGAAUCUACUCCAUCUUCUCUUUAGUACCUGCUAAUUCAGCAGCACUUACCCUCUCCCUCUGUGUCCCAGGUGUGAGUAAGUCACUGGGAACUCACGAUGCUCAGGACGUGGCCUCUGCCCCGGCAGCCUGGCUCUACGGCGGGGUGGAUGCACCGACACUCAUGUGGUCAGGGGUAG